UACCAGACUCCUACGGGAGGCAGCAGUAGGGAAUAUUGCACAAUGGGGGAAACCCUGAUGCAGCGACGCCGCGUGAGCGAUGAAGUAUUUCGGUAUGUAAAGCUCUAUCAGCAGGGAAGAAGAUGACGGUACCUGACUAAGAAGCCCCGGCUAACUACGUGCCAGCAGCCGCGGUAAUACGUAGGGGGCAAGCGUUAUCCGGAUUUACUGGGUGUAAAGGGAGCGUAGACGGCGAUGCAAGUCUGAAGUGAAAGCCCGUGGCUUAACCGCGGAACGGCUUUGGAAACUGUGGAACUGGAGUGCUGGAGAGGCAAGCGGAAUUCCUAGUGUAGCGGUGAAAUGCGUAGAUAUAAGGAGGAACACCAGUGGCGAAGGCGGUCUGCUGGACAGCAACUGACGGUGAGGCGCGAAAGCGUGGGGAGCAAACAGGAUUAGAUACCCCCGUAC
Molecule: ribosomal RNA, 447 nt
Filed under: uncultured bacterium
Lineage: Bacteria
Description: bacterial SSU rRNA
Rfam family: Bacterial small subunit ribosomal RNA
Source: RNAcentral